GACGAACGCUGGCGGCGUGCUUAACACAUGCAAGUCGAACGGAAAGGCCCUGCUUUUGUGGGGUGCUCGAGUGGCGAACGGGUGAGUAACACGUGAGUAACCUGCCCUUGACUUUGGGAUAACUUCAGGAAACUGGGGCUAAUACCGGAUAGGAGCUCCUGCUGCAUGGUGGGGGUUGGAAAGUUUCGGCGGUUGGGGAUGGACUCGCGGCUUAUCAGCUUGUUGGUGGGGUAGUGGCUUACCAAGGUUUUGACGGGUAGCCGGCCUGAGAGGGUGACCGGCCACAUUGGGACUGAGAGACGGCCCAGACUCCUACGGGAGGCAGCAGUGGGGAAUAUUGCACAAUGGGCGGAAGCCUGAUGCAGCAACGCCGCGUGCGGGAUGACGGCCUUCGGGUUGUAAACCGCUUUCGCCUGUGACGAAGCGUGAGUGACGGUAAUGGGUAAAGAAGCACCGGCUAACUACGUG
RNAcentral lists this ribosomal RNA (468 nucleotides) under uncultured bacterium. RNAcentral describes it as "partial 16S ribosomal RNA". It matches the Rfam family "Bacterial small subunit ribosomal RNA", at positions 28 to 507 of the family's 1533-position model. The record is from RNAcentral.